CUACGGGGUGCACCAGUGGGGAAUAUUGCACAAUGGGCGCAAGCCUGAUGCAGCAACGCCGUGUGAGGGAUGAAGGCCUUCGGGUUGUAAACCUCUUUUAGCAGGGAAGAAGCGAAAGUGGCGGUACCUGCAGAAAAAGCACCGGCUAACUACGUGCCAGCAGCCGCGGUAAUACGUAGGGUGCAAGCGUUGUCCGGAAUUAUUGGGCGUAAAGAGCUCGUAGGCGGUUUGUCACGUCUGCUGUGAAAAUCCAAGGCUCAACCUUGGACUUGCAGUGGGUACGGGCAGGCUAGAGUGCGGUAGGGGAGAUGGGAAUUCCUGGUGUAGCGGUGGAAUGCGCAGAUAUCAGGAGGAACACCAAUGGCGAAGGCACAUCUCUGGGCCGUAACUGACGCUGAGGAGCGAAAGCGUGGGGAGCGAACAGGAUUAGAUACCCGAGUAGUC
This 444-nucleotide ribosomal RNA is filed under the name uncultured bacterium. Its description in RNAcentral is "partial 16S ribosomal RNA". It matches the Rfam family "Bacterial small subunit ribosomal RNA", at positions 339 to 795 of the family's 1533-position model. The record is from RNAcentral.